AGUGAACGCUGGCGGCAGGCCUAACACAUGCAAGUCGAACGGCAGCACAAGAGAGCUUGCUCUCUGGGUGGCGAGUGGCGGACGGGUGAGGAAUGCAUCGGAAUCUGCCCAUUUGUGGGGGAUAACCUCGGGAAACCGGGACUAAUACAGCAUACGACCUACGGGUGAAAGCGGGGGAUCUUCGGACCUUGCGCAGAUGGAUGAGCCGAUGCCGGAUUAGCUAGUUGGAGGGGUAAAGGCCCACCAAGGCGACGAUCCGUAGCUGGUCUGAGAGGAUGAUCAGCCACACUGGGACUGAGACACGGCCCAGACUCCUACGGGAGGCAGCAGUGGGGAAUAUUGGACAAUGGGCGCAAGCCUGAUCCAGCCAUGCCGCGUGUGUGAAGAAGGCCUUCGGGUUGUAAAGCACUUUUGUUGGGAAAGAAAAGCAGCCGGUUAAUACCCGGUUGUCAUGACGGUACCCAAAGAAUAAGCACCGGCUAACUUCGUG
Molecule: ribosomal RNA, 490 nt
Filed under: uncultured bacterium
Lineage: Bacteria
Description: partial 16S ribosomal RNA
Rfam family: Bacterial small subunit ribosomal RNA
Source: RNAcentral